Molecule: ribosomal RNA, 996 nt
Filed under: Triticum aestivum (bread wheat)
Lineage: Eukaryota; Viridiplantae; Streptophyta; Magnoliopsida; Poales; Poaceae
Description: partial small subunit ribosomal RNA
Source: RNAcentral
AUGGCCGGCGGCGAUUGUUCUCCCGUGGCGGCGGCGAGAAAGUGGGACCACGAAGAGUAUCGGUUCAAGACGCCGGAGGAGGAUUCCUUCGACCCGCGAUUCAGCGAGUACGACCCCAAGCAGGGUUGUUUCAUAUACGUCCGCUACUUCUUCGACGGUGACAAACUCGACCUCGACGAGGAGUCACCUAUUGGUCCCAUGCGACAUACUGGUAAAAUCUUCAAAGAGGGGUUCCGGCUCAAAAACUCGGUCAAUGUUGUCUCCAUCAAGAUUGUUUCCUCCGACUAUGGCUACCCACUCAAUGUCUAUGGUACCAUCAUAGCCAGGGACAGUCUGGAUCAAAAAUGUGUCUAUAUAUUCCGGCGCGACCAGGAUGAUUGCCAGCUCAUCAGCUCAAGGGAUGAUUCAUUGAUUUUGACUGGCCCGAAGAGAGGAUUCAUGGUAUGCGAUGAUAUAUUCUUCGAAAUCAAUCUGAAGGUUAAGGAUGUGCAUGGGAGGACUGUCGAUGAUGAUAGACUCAGUAAAGGCCUGAUCGAGGUGGAUGCUAUCCGCAGGCUGGAAUUUGAUCCCAGAUAUAUGGUUGAAACGGAAACACUCGUCAGCAUGCACAGCAUAUUGGAUUUAAACUACACAUUUGUAAGGAGGUCGGUGGAGGGCACUGUUGAGAUCAGGAUCCUUCAGGGACCUGAUGAAUUCCAUGGGAAGAUCGCCGCUUCCACUACCAGCAUUCCAUGCGACAUUGUGCUACAUGAUAGCAAAGUGUCUGGUGCGCUAAUUGCAGGUGACAAUGGAGUCCUACAAAUGGCGCGGCGCAUAGUAGGAGUCUCUGUGGAUGAGAUACUGGUAUUGACUGUUGCUGCUGCUGUCGGUGAUGAUAAGUUAUCUGUCGGCACUGUUGAGUUUACUCCAAGGCGCAAUGGUUACGAUGCUGAGAUUAUCAUAUGCGGCAACUACAUGAUGCUUCUGAAGGUGACUUGGUCGAUUGUGUAUUUCUGA